GAGAGUUUGAUCCUAGCUCAGGAUGAACGCUGGCGGCGUGUCUAAGGCAUGCAAGUCGAACGAAGCUUUUUCUUCGGAAAAAGACUGAGUGGCAAACGGGAGCGUAACACAUUGGUAACUUACCUUUAGGACAAGGACAACCCUUCGAAAGAGGGGCUAAUCCUUGAUAAUAAUGGGGGGACACAAGUCAUUCCCAUUUAAACUUGUACAUGGCACAGGGCAAUAUUGAAUGAUAAUUUCGAAUUUCUAAUUUUUAAUUUCGAAUAAAUUUUUCCGCCGAAGGCGGAUCAGCCUCAAGCUGAUAAUGAUUUAAUUUUGAAACAUCGUGUUUCAAAAUUAGAAAAUUCUAAUUUUAUUCAAAAUUCAAAAUUCAUCAUUCAAAAUUUUCGUGUGUUGUGUAUGAGGCCUAAAGAAAGGCCUAUGGUCUAUCAGCUUGUUGGUAAGGUAAUGGCUUACCAAGGCUAUGACGGAUAGCGGGUGUGAGAGCACGACCCGCCUCACCGGGACUGAGAUACUGCCCGGACUCCUACGGGAGGCUGCAGUCGAGAAUAUUCCCCAAUGGACGAAAGUCUGAGGGAGCGACGCCGCGUGCAGGAAGACGCCCUUCGGGGUGUAAACUGCUUUUAAUGGGGACGAACAAAUGACGGUACCCAUUGAAUAAGAGGUUCCUAACUCUGUGCCAGCAGGAGCGGUAAUACAGAGACCUCAAGCGUUAUCCGGAUUUAUUGGGUGUAAAGGGUCUGUAGGUGGCUUUUUGCGUCUUUUGUCAAAUCUUGAGGCUCAACUUCAAGGCUGCGAGAGAUACGGGAAAGCUAGAGGGUGGAAGAGGUGCACGGAAUUGCCGGUGUAGUAGUAAAAUGCGUUUAUAUCGGCAGGAACACCAAAGGCGAAGGCAGUGCACUAGUACAUACCUGACACUAAAAGACGAAAGCGUGGGGAGCGAUGCGGAUUAGAUACCCGCGUAGUCCACGCCCUAAACGAUGAAUGCUAGAUAUUGGGAGUAUCGACCCUCCCAGUGUCGUUCAAACAAGUUAACACGUUAAGCAUUCCACCUGGGGAUUACGGCCGCAAGGCUAAAACUCAAAGGAAUAGACGGGGAUCCGCACAAGCGGUGGAGCAUGUGGUUUAAUUCGAUGGUAAGCGAGGAACCUUACCAGGGCUUGAACUUUCAGGUUGUAGUUUCCCUUAACCGGGAAGCGACCGUUAAAUCGGAACCUGAGAGAGGUGAUGCACGGUUGUCGUCAGCUCGUGGCGUGAGCUGUAUACUUAAGUGUCGUAACGAGCGCAACCCCUAUCCUGUGUUGUACUUUCACAGGAGACUGCCCUCCACUUUGAACACAAGUUCAAAGUGGAACAAAGAAACAAAAGAACAAAAGGACAAAGAAACAAAAAAGUUUCUUUGUUUCUCUGUUUCUAUGUUUCUCUGUUCAUACUUUGUUCACUUGCGAGCAGAGUGGAGGGAGGAAGGUGGGGAUGACGUCAAAUCAGCGUGUCCCUUAUGUUCUGGGCUACACACGUGCUACAAUGGCCGGUACAAUGGGCUGCCAAGUCGUAAGACGGAGCCAAUCCCAAAAAACCGGUCUCAGUUCAGAUUGAGGUCUGCAACCCGACCUCAUGAAGCUGGAAUCGCUAGUAAAUGCGUAUCAGCCUCGGCGCAUUGAAUACGUUCCCGGAUCUUGUACUCACCGCCCGUCACGCCAGGAAAGUCGGAAGCACCUGAAGCACCAUUUACGUGGUAUCAAGGUGAAGUCGAUGAUCAAGGCGAAGUCGUAGCUGCAAACUGCAGUUGUUGCGACCUUCUCGAGUAAUCGAGUUGAAAAAUCUAACUAUAUCGGUGAACCCUAAAGCAAAAUGCUAAGGCAAUACCGAGGGAAGCUUUCCGAGUAAAUAUGGGAAACCAAAUUAUGUAUCAUCUCGCGCGCAGCGCAAUAAACCUAACCGAUCAUCAACGUAAUAUUAUCGUUGGUACGGUUCUUGGAGACGGAUCAUUAAUUGAGACUGCCUCAAAAAAUAAUUUCUGUCUUCAAAUUGAUCACUGCAACGCACAAAAAGAAUAUGUGUUUUGGAAAUAUGAAGCAUUAGACUUACUCGUCCCAACACCGCCGAAAUACCAAUCAAAAAAUAAAUCAUGGCGGUUUAGAACAAUUAGUCAUCCGGAAUUAACGGAAAUCGGCAAACUAUUUUACCGAAACCGUAUAAAAGUGGUUCCAAAGGAGAUUGCUUCACUCCUCACGCCACUUGGUCUUGCGGUAUGGUUUAUGGAUGAUGGAGGAAGACAUCCAACCGGAUAUCUUCUAAAUACACAAUGUUUUACCAAAAAAGAGUUAGCUCUUCUCCAAGAUGCGCUCUUCCGUGUAUUUAACAUCAAACACACAAGCCUACACAAGAACAAAAAUGGAUGGCGACUUUACAUCAAAGCAGCAUCAAGGCAACAUUUCAGAAAAAUUAUUGAGCCUUUUAUGUUGCCACAAAUGAUGUACAAAUUGGAAAGCCCUGUAGAGACUACACGUUAGCUCCUGGUUUUCUCACCAGGAUGAAGAUAUAGUCCAUGCACUUGGAAACAAGUGAAAAAUCAUGAACAAGGCACGGCUAGCGGAAGCUGGUCGUGGAUCACCUCCUU
This 2620-nucleotide ribosomal RNA is filed under the name Parcubacteria group bacterium GW2011_GWC2_39_14. RNAcentral's name for it is "bacterial SSU rRNA". The stretch from base 1 to 1803 matches the Rfam family "Bacterial small subunit ribosomal RNA". The record is from RNAcentral.